UGACCUUAGAAGGGAGCACCCUUACCCUC
Molecule: small RNA, 29 nt
Filed under: Bombyx mori (domestic silkworm)
Lineage: Eukaryota; Metazoa; Arthropoda; Insecta; Lepidoptera; Bombycidae
Description: ovarian small RNA-31647
Source: RNAcentral